RNAcentral lists this ribosomal RNA (471 nucleotides) under Octactis speculum. RNAcentral describes it as "partial Bacterial large subunit ribosomal RNA". It matches the Rfam family "Bacterial large subunit ribosomal RNA", at positions 1 to 521 of the family's 2925-position model. Lineage: Eukaryota; Dictyochophyceae; Dictyochales; Dictyochaceae. The record is from RNAcentral.
GUCAAGUGACUAAGCGUGCACGGUGGAUGCCUUGGCAUCUGGAGGCGAUGAAAGACGUAGUAGCUUGCGAUAAGUUGCGGUGAGGUAGCAAACAACCUUUGACCCGCAAAUUUCUGAAUGGGGAAACCCACCUGCUGUAAGGCAGGUAUCUUAUAGUGAAUACAUAGCUAUAAGAGGCGAACCCGGGGAACUGAAACAUCUAAGUACCCUUAGGAAAAGAAAUCAACAGAGAUUCCCCUAGUAGCGGCGAGCGAACGGGGAUUAGCCCUUAAGCUGUUUUGUAGUUAGUAGAAGGCUCUGGAAAGUGCCGCCAUAGUGGGUGAUAGCCCCGUAUACGAAAACUUAUAAGCAGUGAAAUCGAGUAGGUCGGAACACGUGGUAUUCUGACUGAACAUGGGGGGACCAUCCUCCAAGGCUAAAUACUCCCAGAUGACCGAUAGUGAACCAGUACCGGGAGGGAAAGGUGAAAAG